Molecule: ribosomal RNA, 253 nt
Filed under: uncultured bacterium
Lineage: Bacteria
Description: partial 16S ribosomal RNA
Rfam family: Bacterial small subunit ribosomal RNA
Source: RNAcentral
UACGUAGGGUGCGAGCGUUAAUCGGAAUUACUGGGCGUAAAGCGUGCGCAGGCGGUUCGUGAUGUCUGAUGUGAAAGCCCCGGGCUCAACCUGGGAAUUGCAUUGGAAACUAGCGGGCUGGAGUGUGGCAGAGGGGGGUGGAAUUCCUGGUGUAGCGGUGAAAUGCGCAGAUAUCAGGAGGAACACCGAUGGCGAAGGCAGGUCUCUGGGCAUUAACUGACGCUGAGGAGCGAAAGCAUGGGGAGCGAACAGG